UUAAAUUGAAGAGUUUGAUCAUGGCUCAGAUUGAACGCUGGCGGCAGGCCUAACACAUGCAAGUCGAACGGUAACAGGAAGAAGCUUGCUUCUUUGCUGACGAGUGGCGGACG
This 113-nucleotide ribosomal RNA is filed under the name Escherichia coli. Its description in RNAcentral is "partial 16S ribosomal RNA". It matches the Rfam family "Bacterial small subunit ribosomal RNA", at positions 1 to 104 of the family's 1533-position model. Lineage: Bacteria; Pseudomonadati; Pseudomonadota; Gammaproteobacteria; Enterobacterales; Enterobacteriaceae. RNAcentral also lists the same sequence under 1 other name. The record is from RNAcentral.